RNAcentral lists this ribosomal RNA (253 nucleotides) under uncultured bacterium. RNAcentral's name for it is "partial 16S ribosomal RNA". It matches the Rfam family "Bacterial small subunit ribosomal RNA", at positions 524 to 776 of the family's 1533-position model. The record is from RNAcentral.
UACGUAGGGCGCAAGCGUUAUCCGGAAUUAUUGGGCGUAAAGAGCUCGUAGGCGGUUUGUCGCGUCUGCCGUGAAAGUCCGGGGCUCAACUCCGGAUCUGCGGUGGGUACGGGCAGACUAGAGUGAUGUAGGGGAGACUGGAAUUCCUGGUGUAGCGGUGAAAUGCGCAGAUAUCAGGAGGAACACCGAUGGCGAAGGCAGGUCUCUGGGCCACUACUGACGCUGAGAAGCGAAAGCGUGGGGAGCGAACAGG